UGGGGAAUUUUGGACAAUGGGGGAAACCCUGAUCCAGCCAUCCCGCGUGUGCGAUGAAGGCCUUCGGGUUGUAAAGCACUUUUGGCAGGAAAGAAACGUCGCGGGUUAAUACCCCGCGAAACUGACGGUACCUGCAGAAUAAGCACCGGCUAACUACGUGCCAGCAGCCGCGGUAAUACGUAGGGUGCAAGCGUUAAUCGGAAUUACUGGGCGUAAAGCGUGCGCAGGCGGUUCGGAAAGAAAGAUGUGAAAUCCCAGAGCUUAACUUUGGAACUGCAUUUUUAACUACCGGGCUAGAGUGUGUCAGAGGGAGGUGGAAUUCCGCGUGUAGCAGUGAAAUACGUAGAUAUGCGGAGGAACACCGAUGGCGAAGGCAGCCUCCUGGGAUAACACUGACGCUCAUGCACGAAAGCGUGGGGAGCAAACAGGAUUAGAUACCCUGGUAGUCCACGCCCUAAACGAUGUCAACUAGCUGUUGGGGCCUUCGGGCCUUGGUAGCGCAGCUAACGCGUGAAGUUGACCGCCUGGGGAGUACGGUCGCAAGAUUAAAACUCAAAGG
Molecule: ribosomal RNA, 559 nt
Filed under: uncultured bacterium
Lineage: Bacteria
Description: partial 16S ribosomal RNA
Rfam family: Bacterial small subunit ribosomal RNA
Source: RNAcentral